GUGGGGAAUCUUGCGCAAUGGGCGAAAGCCUGACGCAGCCAUGCCGCGUGAAUGAUGAAGGUCUUAGGAUUGUAAAAUUCUUUCACCGGGGACGAUAAUGACGGUACCCGGAGAAGAAGCUCCGGCUAACUUCGUGCCAGCAGCCGCGGUAAUACGAAGGGGGCUAGCGUUGCUCGGAAUUACUGGGCGUAAAGGGCGCGUAGGCGGACAGCUUAGUCAGAGGUGAAGGCCCAGGGCUCAACCUUGGAAUUGCCUUUGAUACUGGCUGUCUUGAGUUUGGGAGAGGUGAGUGGAACUCCGAGUGUGGAGGUGAAAUUCGUAGAUAUUCGGAAGAACACCAGUGGCGAAGGCGACUCACUGGCCCAAUACUGACGCUGAGGCGCGAAAGCGUGGGGAGCAAACAGGAUUAGAUACCCGAGUAGUCC
This 425-nucleotide ribosomal RNA is filed under the name uncultured bacterium. RNAcentral's name for it is "partial 16S ribosomal RNA". It matches the Rfam family "Bacterial small subunit ribosomal RNA", at positions 354 to 796 of the family's 1533-position model. The record is from RNAcentral.